This is an RNA transcript of Fukomys damarensis (Damara mole-rat), 933 nucleotides long. It is a transcript of the gene named chromosome unknown C10orf53 homolog, with no coding region annotated. Lineage: Eukaryota; Metazoa; Chordata; Mammalia; Rodentia; Bathyergidae. The transcript has 5 exons. The record is from RefSeq and is a predicted model, not a curated record.
GCGGCGGGCGUCUCUUGGUCUCCCAGGCUGCUUGCUGUCUGGCAGGUGGCGCCAUGCCUGUGAAAGCAGAAGUCAUCCUGCGUUAUGGACCCUACAGCGCAGUGGGCCUGGCGGUCGAGCACCGCACCUUCCGCCUGGAGGGCCUGCAAGCUGUGUUGGCCAAAGAUGGACACAAGGUCAUCCUAGAGAAAAUAGAAGAAUGGAAUGUGGUGGAGCUCGUGGUAAAUGAAGACAUUGUCUUCCAGUGCAAUAUUACAGACUUGGAGUUCGGAGGUGAUGGUAAACUGGAUCCACUGUGCGAAGAGGCUAGGAAAUCUGUGUUAAACGCCUACUGAUCUCUGGUGGAACAGAUGCAGAUGACCAUCACAGCCCCUGGUGCAGGGAUCCAGGGCUGUCCCUGCCAGGAAGAAGCAACACCGGCCUGCUACAAAGUCCAGAUUCCCAUCUGGCUGCACAGGGGCCCCCAAAAUAAUAAAACCACAUUGUGUGUUGUGUCUUUCAACCUCAACCCACAGGGAGAGUCUCCAAUAUCAGACCUGUCCAACAGAAGGCUCUGAGGAGAGCAGAAAGUUCUGAACAGAAGCAAGAAGUGGCCCGGUCCCUUUGGAGGAGGACACAGCCCAGUGAAAAGAAGAGUUUAGCUGUGGUCAGGUGAGCUACAAGGACAUUUCAGUAUGAGGACUGGAGCAGAGGGAGGACCUUGAAGGAACACUGGUGCCCUCAGUGGCAGAAGCCGCUUCCUGGGCCCCGCUCCUGGAAGUGUGGUGGGAAGCUGCCCCUCCUGCUCCUGGCUGUGUGGGCAGAACAGGGUUACAGGGAAGGAACAACUCAGGUGACAGCAUGCACAGAAGAUGUGGAUGCCAAGUUUCCAGGAGAAGCACACCAGGUGGUCAAGCCCAGGUGAAAUGGGGAAAUGCCAGGCCAGGUGUCUGA